This 649-nucleotide ribosomal RNA is filed under the name Haemophilus influenzae. Its description in RNAcentral is "bacterial LSU rRNA". It matches the Rfam family "Bacterial large subunit ribosomal RNA", at positions 1208 to 1840 of the family's 2925-position model. The record is from RNAcentral. Lineage: Bacteria; Pseudomonadati; Pseudomonadota; Gammaproteobacteria; Pasteurellales; Pasteurellaceae.
AUUAGUGAUACGCCUGUUGGGUAGGGGAGCGUUGUGUAAGCGGAAGAAGGUUCAUCGAGAGGUGGGCUGGACGUAUCACAAGUGCGAAUGCUGACAUAAGUAACGAUAAAACGGGUGAAAAACCCGUUCGCCGGAAGACCAAGGGUUCCUGUCCAACGUUAAUCGGGGCAGGGUGAGUCGGCUCCUAAGGCGAGGCUGAAAAGCGUAGUCGAUGGGAAACAGGUUAAUAUUCCUGUACUUGGUAAAGCUGCGAUGUGGGGACGGAGUAGGUUAGGUUAUCGCACUGUUGGAUAUGUGCGUUUAAGUUGGUAGGUGGGAAGUUUAGGCAAAUCCGGACUUCCUUAACACAGAGAGAUGAUGACGAGGCUCUACGGAGCUGAAGUAACUGAUACCACACUUCCAGGAAAAGCCACUAAGCGAAAGGCUUUACUAAACCGUACUGAAAACCGACACAGGUGGUCAGGUAGAGAAUACUCAGGCGCUUGAGAGAACUCGGGUGAAGGAACUAGGCAAAAUAGCACCGUAACUUCGGGAGAAGGUGCGCCGGCGUAGAUUGUAAGGGCUAGCCCCUGAAGGUUGAACCGGUCGAAGUGACCCGCUGGCUGCAACUGUUUAUUAAAAACACAGCACUCUGCAAACACGAAAGUGG